Liolophura sinensis is the source of this 4996-nucleotide RNA transcript. It is a transcript of the gene named 6-phosphofructo-2-kinase/fructose-2,6-bisphosphatase-like, with no coding region annotated. The record is from RefSeq and is a predicted model, not a curated record. Lineage: Eukaryota; Metazoa; Mollusca; Polyplacophora; Chitonida; Chitonidae. The transcript has 15 exons.
CUGGAGUAUAAAAAAGGACAUUUUGCAGGGGGAUUGUAUUCUGUACAGAUCCUGUUUUGAGGUUUCAUAAUAGCAUCCUUGGGAUUAGUGUUCUUGGAACGGAACUGACACUGUUUUUUCUUUGAUAUAUAUAUUUUUUUCAAGCUCACUAUUCCCAGUACCCCAGCGUGCUGUUCUGUAUAAAACCAGGUGAACAGCUGACUGGAGGGAGUAGUGAAUCUAGGAGCCGGCCGGCAAGCACACCUGAUAUUCUGAGGCCACCCUAAUGCUACUGGAGACAGCUGCUGAGGAACUUUAAAAGUCUUGUCUUGACACAUCUAAGGGUGGUUGAACGGGUGUACAGGACAGGAUUGGUCACUCAAGCAUCAAAGAUAUAUAUCUGCAUGUUCAGUUGCCACACAUGCAGCAGUAAUUAGCUGACCUACCACCAACAGGAUCUCCUGAGCACUGCAUGCUCCUGAUUUGGGGUUUGACCCAGGGAUCAUACUUACUUUUCAGGGCUGCUGUGACUUUCAGUUUUAGCACCUGAAACGCUGAUCAAUAUCUGCAUCUAGGUUAGCUGAAAUUGUGAGGUAAUUUUUGGUAUUGAGAGUUCUCUGUGCCUGGUGUCCUACAAACAACUUGUAAACAAGGCUGCAGACAUGGGUGUAGAUAAGGACUUGUCCAACAACAACUCUAGCCGUUGGGGAACAGCCUCGUGCCCACAUGUGGUCCAGGUUCCAACCGUUGUGGUCAUGGUGGGGCUGCCUGCCCGUGGCAAGACUUACAUCUCUAAGAAGCUGACUCGCUACCUUAACUGGAUAGGCAUUGAUACCAGAGCUUUCAAUGUAGGAGAGCUUAGGAGGGCAGCUACUGACAAAUACAGGAGUCAUGACUUUUUCCGAACAGACAAUGCUGAGGCCCAGGCUAUCAGAGCAAAAUGUGCCCAGAUAGCCCUGGACAAUGCCUGCGAGUGGUUAGCCAAUGGUGGACAAGUGGCUGUGGUAGAUGCGACCAAUACAACGAGGGACAGGCGAAGAAUGAUUGUGGACAUCUGCACUGUCAAACAUCCAUUUAAGCUGUUUUUCAUUGAGUCAAUCUGUGAUGACCCCGAAAUAGUCCAGGCUAACAUAAUUGAGGUGAAAAUUUGUGGGCCAGAUUACAUUGGAAUGGACAAAAACAAGGCAAUGGAAGACUUCCAGAUGAGGAUUUCUCAUUAUGAGGCGGGCUACGAAUCACUUGACUAUAAACAUGAUCGGAAUCUCUCCUUCAUCCAGAUUUUCAACCAGGGAGAACGAUUUUUGGUCAACAAAUUAGCAGGACAUUUACAGAGCCGAGUGGUGUACUAUCUGAUGAACAUUCACGUACUCCCAAGAACAAUUUAUAUAACAAGGCAUGGAGAAAGCCAGAUGAACCUGACUGGUCGCAUAGGUGGAGACAGUGAACUUUCAGACAGAGGCUGUCAGUAUGCUGAUGCCUUGGCCAAGUUCAUUGAGAAGGAGAAGAUACCCAACUUGCGUGUCUGGACUAGUCAGUUGAAGCGUACCAUACAAACUGCCAAACAUAUAAACGCUCCUAAAGAGCACUGGAAGGCUCUCAAUGAGAUAGAUGCUGGUAUUUGCGAGGGAAUGACAUAUGAGGAAAUUCAAGAGAAGCACCCUGAGGAGUUUGCCCUCAGGGAUCAAGACAAGUUUCACUACAGAUACCCCAGUGGAGAGUCCUACCAAGACUUGGUUGCAAGGCUGGAACCUGUGAUAAUGGAGUUGGAGAGGCAGGAGAAUGUAUUGGUUAUUUGCCACCAAGCCGUCGCUCGCUGUCUACUGGCGUACUUCCAGGACAAAAAUUCCGUGGAAAUCCCAUACGUGCCGGUGCCUUCUGCCACAGUGGUCAAAAUGAGACUGUCCGGAGAGGGCUGCCACAUAGAACAAAUUCCAUUAUUAAGCCAGCCUCCCUUAUCUGAAGGUGCCUCUACACACGGUUCUCAAGCUGACGCCGGUAGCUUAUGGUUGUAACGUGGAGUUCAUCUCCCUCAAUGUGGAAGCAGUGAAUACCCACAGGGACAAACCUAGUGGCCCAAGGAAGCAGAGGGGGUCAAGCCUACACUGUAUGCAGGAUAGUUUGUACGAAUAACCCCUGUUUACCAGCAUUGACCAUAUUUUGGUGGACUGUGGUCCAUUCCUUCAGGCUGGUGACCUUUAUGACCUUCAGCAUUGACCUUCCAAUCAAGGAUUUGUAUUUCAGAGCAAGGAUCUGCAACAUGGUCAUCUGUUGAGACGUCAGACUGUGCAAUUGAAUGAGCUCUGAUAGAUCUGUAUUCUUAUUCUAUGCAGUGGCCUUGUGCAAACUUUGUGUGCCAGCCCCCCGUUAGAAAGGGGAUCUAUUGUGAUGCUGUGCCAGACAUUCUAUAGGAUCAGUCACAACGGGACUGGAUGGGUUUGUCACCCUGAGGAAACUUUUUGUGUGAUAUGUUUCAAGAUGUUGUGUUUGUUAACAAGUUUUCAUCAUCAGAGGCCAUCAUUAACCUAGCAGUCGUUAUUCAACAUUUGAAUGAUUAGAGCUCUUGUUGGUGUACAGGUAUACUAGCCAGUGCAGCAUGAACAUUGACUCUCUGCUUAUAAACUAGGCAUGUCUACAUGGAUGUGACCUUUAUUCAUACCCUCGUCUUUAAUGUCGUUUUAAUACUAUAAAGGUUUUCUCAGGAUAUUGAGGUUGAUGUGCUUUUCAUAGGUAUACCUCCGUAUUAAUACAUAUAUGUAUUUAUGGUACCAGUCAACAGUAAUCAGUAUAUGAGCCAUUCUGUAUUACUGGGCUUGAUCAAAUAUGGACUGAUAUGUUUCUGUCUUUUCAUUUUGAAAUAUACACAUGCAUUAUUACAUUAUUGAAUGGCAGGAAUUAUGUUUUUUUUUCUAUUUUCUUCCCCACUGUGUAGUGCUAUAGAAAAUUUAAUGUUUUAAAUGUAUGUUUUAGGCCUGAUUUACACUUACACCUAUUUGUGUGGCUCAAAGGCUCUCUACACCAUUUUUGUAUUCACUUGAAGAGAUUUAAUCUUGUUUCUUUAUAGGUUGAUGAAACAGUUUUUAUUCCAGAAACAAAUAUAAAGUUGUAAACACUGCAAAUGGGGACAGAGCUAAAUGGUUAAAACUUGUUUUUUUUUUUGUUUUUUUUUUUCACUUUAUUUCAGAGUUCCAGGCAAACAUGCAUGUAUACAUGUGGGGUUAGGUUAAUCAUUUGUUUCUCACCUGUAGUACAUGUGAGUGCUGGUUAUCAUUGUUAUUCUUCAGUGCUGAUAUACCACAUAUACAGUUUUCUAAAGGAAGGGAACUAAUGUUCUAGUUUUAAUAGUUUCCUUCACCUGUUGAAACUUUUAAGGAUUGGGAGUUGCAUCUUGCAGUGCAAGGUGAGUUAGGUUAAAAUACUUUUGAGUGUUACAUUUUGAAAAUUUGCAUUUUCAUUCAAACAUGAUUCUGUAAAUAUAUACAUAUAUUACCAAAUCUUUCUCUAGAAUGUUAUUGCAUUGAGAAGAUUGCAGUUUGAUACUCAUACUUGACAUUAUAAGGGAUCACAGUGAAAGUGACAGUCUUUACGUAAGAUACUGGUUUGUAAUAAUUCUUUCCAACUGAUAAAAUAGCAUUUCAUAGUUGUCUGAAAAUUGUUAGUGGUUCUGUUGAUGAACCAAAGGGUUAAAUGAUGAGGAUCAAGAUAAUGUGUGUUGUUUUGCCUCCUCUACUUUGGCACAAUGUAUACCGUACAUCAGGAAAAAGUAAUUCCUCAAUCUCUCGCUUGUUUGCAAGGUAUUUAUUCGAGCAUAUUCUGAAGGCAUUAUUCUGUUUUGAUUGACAAAAUUAUACUUUCUGUGAAGCUUUAACUGGCCAAUCCAACCAAUGUAGUUUUGUCUCCAAAAUCAAAUUAAAAAUCUGUGUAAAUUGCAAUGAAAGCUUCUCAGUCACAUGCGAAAAGAUUGAGGAAUUAGGGUACUGCCAUGGACUUGUGGCUUCAAUUAACACUAUUCUCUCAAAUUCUGUUGAUGUCCAUUCAGCAAAAUUUCAUUUUUUAAGACACUUCACUAAUGUUAUUAAACCGUAUAGUUAAUUUCUCAGUGAAAUGAGGCAGCGCUUUUAAGGUGGAGAAAACACAAAAAUUACAUAAAUUUCAGAUGAAAGAUUACGAAAAGUUAGCUGUAAAUGUGGUCUUUAAUAUUUUUUUUUGAUUUUUCUUUGAAGAGAAAAGACACUUGAAAAUAUAUUUUGUAUGGUGGAUAUUUUGGACCACCUCUUGGCAUAUUUUGUCAUUGUGCAAUAAUUUUGUAAAUGAGGAUGUAACACAUGUUUAAUAAAUAUAUUUGCUCUAGAAUUUGGACUUUUCAGCUAAAAUUUUUAUCAUAUUUAUUUUUUUAAUGCAUUCUUAAAUAUUAUCAUAAUUGAGAUUAAAUGCAUGUGUUUGGAUAUAAACAACAAAUUUACAUUGAAAUAAAUUUAUUAGACAUGCAUCACAUCCUUGUUGAGAACAUUAUUAUGAAAAAAUGAAAAAUACCAAGGGGCCCCAAAUACCACUUUCUCCUGAAAGAAAACAUCCAUGGAAAUAUUAAAGAUCAUCUUUGCAAACAGUUUCAUGCUCUUUCUUCAGAUUUUGGCAUCAUUUUUAUGUUUUCUUCUCCUUUCAGCAUUCUUUCCUUAUGUCCAAUAAGUAAUUCUGAUCAACAUCGUCAAUGGAGGCAAUUUUCUAUCUUUGUGGAGGAAAAUAUUCAAAUAUCUGUCUAGUUCAGUAGCUAUUGAUAAUUCUUGUUAAAUCAGGUAUGGCUAUUGUUGUCCUUUGUCUACUACCUUGUGUGCUGUGUGGGUGAAUGAUGAAGACGUUGACCUUUGACCAAGCUACUACUGUUAUCAAUGAUGUAAUGUUCGAUAAAGGUGCCAUAGUAUUCAGUGAUUAUGGAAAUAUUCACAAACUUUGUAUUACAUAAAUAUUCUAGAAUGAUUUAUGUAUUGUGUAUUACAAAGAAAUAAAGAAACGAAUAUGAUAA